UACGUAGGGAGCGAGCGUUGUCCGGAUUCAUUGGGCGUAAAGAGCUCGUAGGCGGCUUGAUAAGUCGGAUGUGAAACCUCCAGGCUCAACCUGGAGUCGCCAUCCGAUACUGUCAUAGCUAGAGUCCGGUAGGGGCCCACGGAACUCCUGGUGUAGCGGUGAAAUGCGCAGAUAUCAGGAAGAACACCAGUGGCGAAGGCGGUGGGCUGGGCCGGUACUGACGCUGAGGAGCGAAAGCGUGGGGAGCGAACAGG
RNAcentral lists this ribosomal RNA (254 nucleotides) under uncultured bacterium. RNAcentral describes it as "partial 16S ribosomal RNA". It matches the Rfam family "Bacterial small subunit ribosomal RNA", at positions 524 to 776 of the family's 1533-position model. The record is from RNAcentral.